Molecule: ribosomal RNA, 390 nt
Filed under: uncultured bacterium
Lineage: Bacteria
Description: bacterial SSU rRNA
Rfam family: Bacterial small subunit ribosomal RNA
Source: RNAcentral
AUUGAACGCUGGCGGCAUGCUUUACACAUGCAAGUCGAACGGUAACAGGGAGCUUGCUCCGCUGACGAGUGGCGAACGGGUGAGUAAUGCAUCGGAACAUGCCCAGUCAUGGGGGAUAACUACGCGAAAGCGUAGCUAAUACCGCAUACGCCCUGAGGGGGAAAGUGGGGGGUCUUAGGACCUCACGUGAUUGGAGUGGCCGAUGUCAGAUUAGCUAGUUGGUGAGGUAAAGGCUCACCAAGGCGACGAUCUGUAGCGGGUCUGAGAGGAUGAUCCGCCACACUGGGACUGAGACACGGCCCAGACUCCUACGGGAGGCAGCAGUGGGGAAUUUUGGACAAUGGGCGCAAGCCUGAUCCAGCCAUGCCGCGUGAGUGAAGAAGGCCUCGG